GAUCCCAAUCUAAAAUUAACCUUUUUUAAUAAUUAAAAGGGGAGAGGAUUCUGUUUUUACUUUUAGAUGUUACGUACUGGGGAGUAGAAUUAUCAUGCAGCUAAAGCAACAACUUUGACCACUUUUUUCUUUUUUUUCAGCUCAACGGCCCCCGUGAAGACAUUUUAGUCAGCUGGAAUCCAUGCUGUACUGACACUGCAGAAAAGCAAAACACAUUUGGAUAUUAAAAAAAUCAAAGACAGGGCAAAGAAGACAAUGGGAUAAUGGAAGAAAAAAGGUUCAGGAGUGUGACUGUGCUGAGCCAGGAAGUGAUUUUUUUUCUCUCCUUGUGAUCUAUCCACAGAUGAACUCUCUGACACUUCAUCUGCUGUGCUGAAGAGACGUCGCCGUGCCUUAAUUGAAGACAAGUAUGAACAGGGUAGAUCCAACAAGGAGCAUGAAGGAGGUGAUAUGGAUCACAUUCUCAAAAGCAGAUUUACAGCUGAACUCUCCACGUGAUUUACAUAAGACGAUGGCUCCAUCAGUCUGCACUUGUGAGCGGUGCAAUGAUGUAAAGUGUAUGACGGUUUACUCUUGUCACUUACAAAUCAUAUUUACUGUACUUCAGACACACUCCGUUGCACCGUUUGCACAGUACAACACAUGUUCCUGUCACACAUUCAACAG
RNAcentral lists this long non-coding RNA (666 nucleotides) under Oryzias sinensis (Chinese medaka). RNAcentral describes it as "lncRNA (ENSOSIG00000009039.1)". The record is from RNAcentral. Lineage: Eukaryota; Metazoa; Chordata; Actinopteri; Beloniformes; Adrianichthyidae.